This 463-nucleotide ribosomal RNA is filed under the name uncultured bacterium. RNAcentral describes it as "partial 16S ribosomal RNA". It matches the Rfam family "Bacterial small subunit ribosomal RNA", at positions 28 to 507 of the family's 1533-position model. The record is from RNAcentral.
GAUGAACGCUGACAGAAUGCUUAACACAUGCAAGUCUUUGGCGAAGCUGUGCUUGCACAGCCUAGCCAAGGCGGACGGGUGAGUAACGCGUAAGGAACUUGCCCUGCAGUCAGGGAUAACAGACGGAAACGACUGAUAAGACCUGGUAAAGUCAGGCGGACUCAUGUCCAGCCUGAUGAAAAGAGAUGCUGCAGGAGAGCCUUGCGUCCUAUUAGCUUGUUGGUGGGGUAACGGCCCACCAAGGCGAUGAUAGGUAGCCGGCCUGAGAGGGUGGACGGCCACAAGGGGACUGAGAUACGGCCCUUACGCCUACGGGAGGCAGCAGUGGGGAAUAUUGGACAAUGGGGGCAACCCUGAUCCAGCAAUUCUGUGUGCACGAUGAAGGUUUUCGGAGUGUAAAGUGCUUUCAGCAGGGAAGAAAAAAAUGACGGUACCUGCAGAAGAAGCGACGGCUAAAUACGUG